This 91-nucleotide transfer RNA is filed under the name Caudoviricetes sp. RNAcentral describes it as "tRNA-Ser". It matches the Rfam family "tRNA". From Rfam's summary of the family: Transfer RNA (tRNA) molecules are approximately 80 nucleotides in length. The record is from RNAcentral. Lineage: Duplodnaviria; Heunggongvirae; Uroviricota; Caudoviricetes.
GUGGUAGUACCCAAGAGGCUGAAGGGAUUUGCUUGGAAAGCAAAUAGGCGGCGUAAGCCGUGCAGGGGUUCAAAUCCCUUCUACCACGCCA